Molecule: ribosomal RNA, 460 nt
Filed under: uncultured bacterium
Lineage: Bacteria
Description: partial 16S ribosomal RNA
Rfam family: Bacterial small subunit ribosomal RNA
Source: RNAcentral
CCUACGGGAGGCAGCAGUGAGGAAUAUUGGUCAAUGGGCGGAAGCCUGAACCAGCCAAGUAGCGUGCAGGAUGACGGCCCUACGGGUUGUAAACUGCUUUUAUACGGGAAUAACGCGCCUUACGUGUAGGGCUUUGCAUGUACCGUCUGAAUAAGGACUGGCUAAUUCCGUGCCAGCAGCCGCGGUAAUACGGAAGGUCCGGGCGUUAUCCGGAUUUAUUGGGUUUAAAGGGAGCGUAGGCCGCAUGUCAAGCGUGCUGUGAAAUGGCCGGGCUCAACCCCGGCCUUGCAGGGCAAACUGGCGUGCGUGAGUCCGCGGAAAGCAGGCGGAAUUCGUGGUGUAGCGGUGAAAGGCUUAGAUAUGACGAAGAACCCCGAUUGCGAAGGCAGCUUGCUGCAGCUGAACUGACGCUGAUGCUCGAAAGCGCGGGUAUCGAACAGGAUUAGAUACCCGGGUAGUC